This 468-nucleotide ribosomal RNA is filed under the name uncultured bacterium. RNAcentral describes it as "partial 16S ribosomal RNA". It matches the Rfam family "Bacterial small subunit ribosomal RNA", at positions 28 to 507 of the family's 1533-position model. The record is from RNAcentral.
GACGAACGCUGGCGGCGUGCUUAACACAUGCAAGUCGAACGGAAAGGCCCUGCUUUUGUGGGGUGCUCGAGUGGCGAACGGAUGAGUAACACGUGAGUAACCUGCCCCUGACUUUGGGAUAACUUCAGGAAACUGGGGCUAAUACCGGAUCGGAGCUCCUGCUGCAUGGUGGGGGUUGGAUAGUUUCGGCGGUUGGGGAUGGACUCGCGGCUUAUCAGCUUGUUGGUGGGGUAGUGGCUUACCAAGGCGUUGACGGGUAGCCGGCCUGAGAGGGUGACCGGCCACAUUGGGACUGAGAUACGGCCCAGACUCCUACGGGAGGCAGCAGUGGGGAAUAUUGCACAAUGGGCGGAAGCCUGAUGCAGCAACGCCGCGUGCGGGAUGACGGCCUUCGGGUUGUAAACCGCUUUCGCCUGUGACGAAGCGUGAGUGACGGUAAUGGGUAAAGAAGCACCGGCUAACUACGUG